This 1018-nucleotide long non-coding RNA is filed under the name Triticum aestivum (bread wheat). RNAcentral's name for it is "long non-coding RNA (TAES_LNC011839)". The record is from RNAcentral. Lineage: Eukaryota; Viridiplantae; Streptophyta; Magnoliopsida; Poales; Poaceae.
UUUUUGACAAAUAGCGCGAUAGGGAGGCAUGGUGCUACUGAUAGGAUAUAACUAAUCAGGAGGCUAUAGAACAUUAAAUAGAGGCUACAUCAUCAGAUCAACAAAAGCUUCAACAACAGGACACACUGGUAGUUGUAGAGGACUAUCAUCGAUAGCACAAAACUGAAUCCUUACAUGUACAUGUCAUCUGAAAUUUCCAUUUUUAUUCAAGCUACAUUUACAGGCUGCUUUUUAGAUACAGAAAGUUGGGAGACACAUAAUCAAAGCAAGCCCGCAGAUAGUGAUAGAUGAGGCAGAAUAACUACUAUAGUGAAAGUAUCCAAGCAAUCAACCAAUGAUAGAAAUACCAUGCAAAUCUUAUCCAAAAACACAAACAAUAAAAGUUAUUAGCACUCUGCCACAGAAAUCAAAUAGGGGAGGUAUUGAUCUGAGGUUUGCAUUAUCAAUUUGUGUGUUGAUGCCAUGGACGAUCGAAGAUCGGCUACGAAGCCGAGGCACAAUCAAUGGUACCUAUGACAUCCAUGAAUCAAAAUCAUUAGUUUUCCAAAAAUGAAGUAUGGAGGCGGGGAGGAUAGGAGCACACUGCCACAGAUAACCACAUAAUCGUCCUGCAAAUGCUUGUCGUCGGCAUAAGAAUAUACUGCCACCAAAAGUCCCAAAGCCAACCGUUCCAGGACAAACCUCAACAUAUGCAGAGCGGUCAAGUACAAAAUAAUUAGUUCUCUAGCACAUAUAUCUUGAGCAGAACUCUUAAUCUGAAUCAUUUGAGGCAAUUAUCAUUCUAUAUAACCAGCCUAAUUAAUCCCCCAUGCAAAAAAAUUGUACUCUUAGCAACAAAAAAAGCGGAUAAUGGAAUAGGAAAAACACUAAAAUGUCUACUUCCAGAUUCUUUUUUUUGCGGGUUACUUCCAGAUUCAUGGGCGUGCAAGCACUACGGAGUAAAAUUGAACAAACAAAUCUAAAAUACAUGGGAUGAGAAGGAGGAGGUGAAGGAGCAGGAAGAUAGGGAGGAGCUCAC